RNAcentral lists this ribosomal RNA (253 nucleotides) under uncultured bacterium. Its description in RNAcentral is "partial 16S ribosomal RNA". It matches the Rfam family "Bacterial small subunit ribosomal RNA", at positions 524 to 776 of the family's 1533-position model. The record is from RNAcentral.
UACAGAGGUCCCAAGCGUUGUUCGGAUUCACUGGGCGUAAAGCGCACGUAGGCGGAUUGCUAAGUCAGGGGUGAAAUCCUGGAGCUCAGCUCCAGAACUGCCUUUGAUACUGGCGAUCUUGAGUCCGGGAGAGGUGAGUGGAACUGCGAGUGUAGAGGUGAAAUUCGUAGAUAUUCGCAAGAACACCAGUGGCGAAGGCGGCUCACUGGCCCGGUACUGACGCUGAGGUGCGAAAGCGUGGGGAGCAAACAGG